UACGAAGGAGGCUAGCGUUGUUCGGAAUCACUGGGCGUAAAGCGCACGCAGGCGGAUUGAUAAGUCGGGGGUGAAAUCCCGGGGCUUAACCUCGGAAUUGCAUUCGAUACUGUCUGUCUUGAGUUCGGGAGAGGUUGGCGGAAUUCCUAGUGUAGAGGUGAAAUUCGUAGAUAUUAGGAAGAACACCAGUGGCGAAGGUGGUCAACUGGCCCGAAACUGACGCUCAUGUGCGAAAGCGUUGGGAGCAAACAGG
RNAcentral lists this ribosomal RNA (253 nucleotides) under uncultured bacterium. Its description in RNAcentral is "partial 16S ribosomal RNA". It matches the Rfam family "Bacterial small subunit ribosomal RNA", at positions 524 to 776 of the family's 1533-position model. The record is from RNAcentral.